This 72-nucleotide transfer RNA is filed under the name Camelus bactrianus (Bactrian camel). It matches the Rfam family "tRNA". Rfam says of the family: Transfer RNA (tRNA) molecules are approximately 80 nucleotides in length. Their secondary structure includes four short double-helical elements and three loops (D, anti-codon, and T loops). RNAcentral also lists the same sequence under 3 other names. Lineage: Eukaryota; Metazoa; Chordata; Mammalia; Artiodactyla; Camelidae. The record is from Rfam by way of RNAcentral.
GGGGGUAUAGCUCAGUGGUAGAGCACAUGCUUAGCAUGCACAAAGUCCUGGGUUCAAUCCCAAGUACCUACA